This 254-nucleotide ribosomal RNA is filed under the name uncultured bacterium. Its description in RNAcentral is "partial 16S ribosomal RNA". It matches the Rfam family "Bacterial small subunit ribosomal RNA", at positions 524 to 776 of the family's 1533-position model. The record is from RNAcentral.
UACGUAGGGGGCGAGCGUUGUCCGGAUUUAUUGGGCGUAAAGAGCUCGUAGGCGGUUUGGCAAGUCGGGUGUGAAAACUCCGGGCUCAACUCGGAGACGCCACUCGAUACUGCUAUGACUCGAGUCCGGUAGGGGAGUGCGGAAUUCCUGGUGUAGCGGUGAAAUGCGUAGAUAUCCGGAGGAAUACCAAAGGCGAAGGCAGUGUCCUGGCUGGCAACUGACGCUGAGGCGCGAAAGCUAGGGGAGCGAACAGG